AGGCGAUUGAUGAAACAUCCAAGGAGAUGCAGAUGACCCUCACUCGCCCAGAUCAGGGUGGGAUUUUCAGGUGUAACGGAGAAUUUGAAUUAGGAAAGACCGCUACUGAACGAAUUGAAAUCCACGUGAUCCAGAAACCUACAUUUGUGGACACAAUGGAUCUUGUGAAGGAAGUUCAUGAGGGCCAAAAUGUAGAAUUCAGCUGCCUGGUUAAAGGAAUACCACCACCAACUAUUAGAUGGUUUUUUGGAAACCAGGACAUCAGAAAUAUUAUUAGGGAAAGGCAACUAUUUAUUGAAAAUGGGAAGCUGCUGAUAGAGAACACCCAAUUAUCAGAUGCGGGUAUUUAUAUUUGUGAGGCAUCCAUCAAAGAACGCAACGAAGUAGCUUUUGCAAACUUUACGCUCAAGAUUA
This 414-nucleotide long non-coding RNA is filed under the name Notechis scutatus (mainland tiger snake). Its description in RNAcentral is "lncRNA (ENSNSUG00000006490.1)". The record is from RNAcentral. Lineage: Eukaryota; Metazoa; Chordata; Lepidosauria; Squamata; Elapidae.